AACGAACGCUGGCGGCAGGCCUAACACAUGCAAGUCGAGCGCUCUCUUCGGAGGGAGCGGCGGACGGGUGAGUAACGCGUGGGAACGUACCUUCUUCUGGGGAAUAGCCACUGGAAACGGUGAUUAAUGCCCCAUACGCCCUUCGGGGGAAAGAUUUAUCGGAGGGAGAUCGGCCCGCGUCUGAUUAGAUAGUUGGUGGGGUAACGGCCUACCAAGUCGACGAUCAGUACCUGGUUUGAGAGGAUGAUCAGGCACACUGGGACUGAGACACGGCCCAGACUCCUACGGGAGGCAGCAGUGGGGAAUCUUGGACAAUGGGCGCAAGCCUGAUCCAGCCAUGCCGCGUGAGCGAUGAAGGCCUUAGGGUUGUAAAGCUCUUUCGCCAGGGAUGAUAAUGACAGUACCUGGUAAAGAAGCCCCGGCUAACUCCG
RNAcentral lists this ribosomal RNA (431 nucleotides) under uncultured Antarcticicola sp. RNAcentral's name for it is "bacterial SSU rRNA". It matches the Rfam family "Bacterial small subunit ribosomal RNA", at positions 29 to 505 of the family's 1533-position model. The record is from RNAcentral. Lineage: Bacteria; Pseudomonadati; Pseudomonadota; Alphaproteobacteria; Rhodobacterales; Paracoccaceae.